This 228-nucleotide long non-coding RNA is filed under the name Mytilus galloprovincialis (Mediterranean mussel). The record is from RNAcentral. Lineage: Eukaryota; Metazoa; Mollusca; Bivalvia; Mytilida; Mytilidae.
GUGUUUACUGUACCCAUACCUUCCCUAAAGUUUUGUUGGGAAUUUGUUUGAUCUAGCAAUGUUGCUCCCAUAGACUAUUUGAGUCUAUUGACCCUACAAUACAAGGUUUUCAACAUAGACGUUUUCAGUAAGUUUUGCCAACCAGUUCAAAAACUUUACCCAAAUUUGAUUGGUUAAACUGUUAAUUGUUCUCUAGACAGAUACAUGAAUGUGAGCUCUAUUCUUGUU